CGCGUAGGUGGGAUAGUAAGUCUGCUUUAAAAAGUGCGGGGCUCAACCCCGUGAUGGGGUGGAAACUGCUAUUCUUGAGUGCAGGAGAGGAAAGCGGAAUUCCCAGUGUAGCGGUGAAAUGCGUAGAUAUUGGGAGGAACACCAGUGGCGAAGGCGGCUUUCUGGACUGUGUCUGACACUGAGGCGCGAAAGCUAGGGGAGCGAACGGGAUUAGAUACCCCGGUAGUCCUAGCCGUAAACGAUGGGUACUAGGUGUAGGGGGGUAUCGACCCCCCCCUGUGCCGGAGUUAACGCAAUAAGUACCCCGCCUGGGGAGUACGGCCGCAAGGUUGAA
RNAcentral lists this ribosomal RNA (334 nucleotides) under uncultured bacterium. RNAcentral's name for it is "partial 16S ribosomal RNA". It matches the Rfam family "Bacterial small subunit ribosomal RNA", at positions 568 to 898 of the family's 1533-position model. The record is from RNAcentral.